This 344-nucleotide long non-coding RNA is filed under the name Setaria viridis. Its description in RNAcentral is "long non-coding RNA (SVIR_LNC007870)". The record is from RNAcentral. Lineage: Eukaryota; Viridiplantae; Streptophyta; Magnoliopsida; Poales; Poaceae.
AAACAGAACUGCUGGGAGGUGGACGUGGAAGUGGAAGCUCUUGGGGCAGACAAGCUACCUGUGUUCGUCAAGGUGUUGGAGGUGCUAAAGAUCGACUUCCAAUGCCACCUUGAUGCAAUGGAUUCAUCCCGGAAGGAGAACAGGCAACCUUAAUCCUUUUUUUUAUUAGUGUUCUCACUGCAAGAUAAGUCAUGAAGAUGUUCUGUGAAAUUUUAUGCUACCUUAAUCCUUCUGUAAUCCAUGGAAGAAAGAUUAAGUAUGAUCCGUUCUCAGAAAAUUGAAUGAGACGGACUCACAUUUGCGAUCCUUUAUUGGGAAAAAGAUGCUUGGUCUGAAUUUUAGCA